GCCGCAGACUGUCAACAGCCAGGACGUUAGGACGCCUGACAAAGCCCUGGAGUGUUAAAUUCGCGACCAGGCCGGUGAGAUAGCGUCUGAACUCCCCUCGUGGACGGCGACUGACGGGAUUCUGGGACUCUCCUGUGAACGAAACGCAACACAACGGUAAGCAAACCGAGAGCAUCUCUAUAACCGCGUGAGUGAAAGUUGCUAGCUACUGACUGGCUUUGCCGCCAUUUUUAAGGAGGUAGAGUGGUUUCCUCGCCAAAGUUUUAAAGAGGGUUAAGACGGUUUCCCCACUGAAAGGAGGAUAGAGCUCUAUAAAAAAUAAAAAGGAUCUCUGCAGUUAGUUGAGUGUAUGGUUUCUCCACCAAUGGUAAGGAGGGAAAGAGCUCGCCGCGGUAAGGGAGGUUAUGGGCCUAUAAAGAGUGUGAAUGAGCGUAUGUGCGUGUGUGAGUGCCAGUCAAGUGAACCAGCAACACAGAAGGAAACCUACGCGGUGUUAACGGAAUUCUGUGACCUGUUGUGUACACAUAGCCUGGGUUUUGAGACACUGAGCAAGAAGACGAUGAAGAGGAUGAUGAGGGUGAAGACAGCAAAGAAAAUGAAGGUCACCCUGAGGAUGGUGGGAGGAUGAGGAGAGGACAGAUUUCUUACAUUUCAAUUCUUUACAGUUUUUGUCCUUCGUGCUUUUGAACCAUCACACCAGGAAAGCUGAUUCUUUUUGUCUCUUUCUGAUAAUAAGACGUCGUGUUCAGCUGUCUUUAUCAUGCAGUAUAGUAAACAUGUUUCAGUGUGAAUGUUAGAAAGAUGAGAUUUUACUGUGAAGCUUUUUUAUACCAAGGGAAUCAUAAACACUUCAGUGAUGUAAAUAAUUCUCUCAGAAGCUGGAAACUCCAAGCAAAACUCACUGAACCAUAAAUAACUGUAGAUUCCAAUAUGAUGAGAAAUGAGGGCUGAAAUGUGAGGAGGUUUCAGACUGUGCAGACUUAUGGACGUAUCAUAGAUUUGGAUUAAAUGUGGUUUAUGAAAAGUUCAUGACUGGUUUGUAGGUUUCCCCUCAUUGGCUGUCUGACCUGCUGACUUACACAGGUCAGCUUCACUGUUUGAUUCUGAUAGCUGAGCUCACACAGGCUCUGUGAUCUGCUGUGUUUUGUUAGAAAUACUUUGACUCACAGAAAAAGCUGCUCAGCUCUUGUUCUGGACACAUUUGGG
Long non-coding RNA from Oreochromis aureus, 1206 nucleotides. Lineage: Eukaryota; Metazoa; Chordata; Actinopteri; Cichliformes; Cichlidae. The record is from Ensembl.